RNAcentral lists this ribosomal RNA (253 nucleotides) under uncultured bacterium. RNAcentral describes it as "partial 16S ribosomal RNA". It matches the Rfam family "Bacterial small subunit ribosomal RNA", at positions 524 to 776 of the family's 1533-position model. The record is from RNAcentral.
GACAGAGGGGGCAAGCGUUGCUCGGAAUCACUGGGCGUAAAGGGCGCGUAGGCGGGAUGGCAAGUCGGUCGUGAAAUCCUUCGGCUCAACCGAAGAACGUCGGCCGAUACUGCCGUUCUUGAGGGAUGCAGAGGAGAUUGGAAUUCCCGGUGUAGCGGUGAAAUGUGUAGAGAUCGGGAGGAACACCGGUGGCGAAGGCGGCAUCCUGGACCGACACUGACGCUGAGGAGCGAAAGCCAGGGGAGCAAACGGG